CCUACGGGCGCUGCAGUGGGGAAUAUUGGACAAUGGGCGAAAGCCUGAUCCAGCCAUGCCGCGUGUGUGAAGAAGGCCUUCGGGUUGUAAAGCACUUUCAGUGGGGAAGAAAGCCUUGGGGCUAAUACCCUCGAGGAAGGACAUCACCCACAGAAGAAGCACCGGCUAACUCCGUGCCAGCAGCCGCGGUAAUACGGAGGGUGCGAGCGUUAAUCGGAAUUACUGGGCGUAAAGCGCGCGUAGGCGGUCUGAUAAGCCGGUUGUGAAAGCCCCGGGCUCAACCUGGGAACGGCAUCCGGAACUGUCAGGCUAGAGUGCAGGAGAGGAAGGUAGAAUUCCCGGUGUAGCGGUGAAAUGCGUAGAGAUCGGGAGGAAUACCAGUGGCGAAGGCGGCCUUCUGGACUGACACUGACGCUGAGGUGCGAAAGCGUGGGUAGCAAACAGGAUUAGAUACCCGUGUAGUC
Molecule: ribosomal RNA, 464 nt
Filed under: Vreelandella stevensii
Lineage: Bacteria; Pseudomonadati; Pseudomonadota; Gammaproteobacteria; Oceanospirillales; Halomonadaceae
Description: partial 16S ribosomal RNA
Rfam family: Bacterial small subunit ribosomal RNA
Source: RNAcentral